UAAUAAAGGCAAACCCACCGAAAGGUGGGGACGCAAAGCUUGAAGUCUAAUACCAUAUGGUAAUGAUUGUUCAGCUGCU
RNAcentral lists this non-coding RNA (79 nucleotides) under uncultured Tissierella sp. RNAcentral describes it as "Cyclic di-GMP-I riboswitch". It matches the Rfam family "c-di-GMP-I riboswitch aptamer". Rfam says of the family: GEMM was predicted in a large-scale screen for bacterial structured RNA regulatory elements. Genes associated with GEMM are involved in a diverse array of functions, including chemotaxis regulation, signal transduction, secretion and chitin. The record is from RNAcentral. Lineage: Bacteria; Bacillati; Bacillota; Tissierellia; Tissierellales; Tissierellaceae.